GUGCUCAUUUUGGCAGCACAUAAACUAAAAUUGGAAUGAUACAGAAAAGAAUAAUAUGGCCCCUUUGCAAGGAUGACACACAAAUUCAUGAAGCAUUUUUCAAGUUU
Small nuclear RNA from Ictidomys tridecemlineatus (thirteen-lined ground squirrel), 107 nucleotides. The record is from Ensembl. NCBI's taxonomy places the organism in Eukaryota, Metazoa, Chordata, Mammalia, Rodentia, Sciuridae.